RNAcentral lists this ribosomal RNA (364 nucleotides) under uncultured bacterium. Its description in RNAcentral is "bacterial SSU rRNA". It matches the Rfam family "Bacterial small subunit ribosomal RNA", at positions 30 to 395 of the family's 1533-position model. The record is from RNAcentral.
AUUGAACGCUGGCGGCAUGCCUUACACAUGCAAGUCGAACGGCAGCACGGGAGCAAUCCUGGUGGCGAGUGGCGAACGGGUGAGUAAUAUAUCGGAACGUGCCCAGUCGUGGGGGAUAACGUAGCGAAAGCUACGCUAAUACCGCAUACGAUCUAUGGAUGAAAGCGGGGGAUCGCAAGACCUCGCGCGAUUGGAGCGGCCGAUAUCAGAUUAGGUAGUUGGUGAGGUAAAGGACUCACCAAGCCGACGAUCUGUAGCUGGUCUGAGAGGACGACCAGCCACACUGGGACUGAGACACGGCCCAGACUCCUACGGAGGCAGCAGUGGGGAAUUUUGGACAAUGGCGCAAGCCUGAUCCAGCAAU